UUGAUCAUGGCUCAGAUUGAACGCUGGCGGCAUGCCUUACACAUGCAAGUCGAACGGCAGCAUGAUCUAUCUUGCUAGAUUGAUGGCGAGUGGCGAACGGGUGAGUAAUACAUCGGAACGUGCCCUGUAGUGGGGGAUAACUAGUCAAAAGAUUAGCUAAUACCGCAUACGACCUGAGGGUGAAAGUGGGGGACCGCAAGGCCUCAUGCUAUAGGAGCGGCCGAUGUCUGAUUAGCCAGUUGGUGAGGUAAAGGCUCACCAAGGCGACGAUCAGUAGCUGGUCUGAGGGGACGAUCAGCCACACUGGGACUGAGACACGGCCCAUACUCCUACGGGAGGCAGCAGUGGGGAAUUUUGGACAAUGGGGGCAACCCUGAUCCAGCAAUGCCGCGUGUGUGAAGAAGGCCUUCGGGUUGUAAAGCACUUUUGUCCGGAAAGAAAUCGCACUUACUAAUAUUAGGUGUGGAUGACGGUACCGGAAGAAUAAGGACCGGCUAACUACGUGCCAGCAGCCGCGGUAAUACGUAGGGUCCAAGCGUUAAUCGGAAUUACUGGGCGUAAAGCGUGCGCAGGCGGUUGUGCAAGACCGAUGUGAAAUCCCCUGGCUUAACCUGGGAAUUGCAUUGGUGACUGCACGGCUAGAGUGUGUCAAGGGGGGUAGAAUUCCACGUGUAGCAUGAAAUGCGUAUAGAUGUGGAGGAUACCGAUGGCGAAGGCANCCCCCUGGGAUNACACUGACGCUCAUGCACGAAAGCGUGGGGAGCAAACAGGAUUAGAUACCUUGGUAGUCCACGCCCUAAACGAUGUCAACUAGUUGUUGGGGAUUCAUUUCCUUAGUAACGUAGCUAACGCGUGAAAGUUGACCGCCUGGGGAGUACGGUCGCAAGAUUAAAACUCAAAGGAAUUGACGGGGACCCGCACAAGCGGUGGAUGAUGUGGAUUAAUUUGAUGCAACGCGAAAAACCUUACCUACCCUUGACAUGCCACUAAUGAAGCAGAGAUGCAUUAGGUGCUCGAAAGAGAAUGUGGACACAGGUGCUGCAUGGCUGUCGUCAGCUCGUGUCGUGAGAUGUUGGGUUAAGUCCCGCAACGAGCGCAACCCUUGUCUCUAGUUGCUACGAAAGGGCACUCUAGAGAGACUGCCGGUGACAAACCGGAGGAAGGUGGGGAUGACGUCAAGUCCUCAUGGCCCUUAUGGGUAGGGCUUCACACGUCAUACAAUGGUGCAUACAGAGGGUUGCCAAGCCGCGAGGUGGAGCUAAUCCCAGAAAAUGCAUCGUAGUCCGGAUCGUAGUCUGCAACUCGACUACGUGAAGCUGGAAUCGCUAGUAAUCGCGGAUCAGCAUGCCGCGGUGAAUACGUUCCCGGGCCUUGUACACACCGCCCGUCACACCAUGGGAGUGGGUUUUGCCAGAAGUAGUUAGCCUAACCGCAAGGGGGGCG
RNAcentral lists this ribosomal RNA (1443 nucleotides) under uncultured Ralstonia sp. RNAcentral describes it as "16S ribosomal RNA". It matches the Rfam family "Bacterial small subunit ribosomal RNA". The record is from RNAcentral. Lineage: Bacteria; Pseudomonadati; Pseudomonadota; Betaproteobacteria; Burkholderiales; Burkholderiaceae.